UGGGGAAUUUUGGACAAUGGGCGCAAGCCUGAUCCAGCCAUGCCGCGUGCGGGAAGAAGGCCCUCGGGUUGUAAACCGCUUUUGUCAGGGAAGAAAUCUUCUGAGUUAAUACCUCGGGAGGAUGACGGUACCUGAAGAAUAAGCACCGGCUAACUACGUGCCAGCAGCCGCGGUAAUACGUAGGGUGCAAGCGUUAAUCGGAAUUACUGGGCGUAAAGCGUGCGCAGGCGGUUUUGUAAGACAGAGGUGAAAUCCCCGGGCUCAACCUGGGAACUGCCUUUGUGACUGCAAGGCUUGAGUGCGGCAGAGGGGGGAUGGAAUUCCGCGUGUAGCAGUGAAAUGCGUAGAUAUGCGGAGGAACACCGAUGGCGAAGGCAAUCCCCUGGGCCUGCACUGACGCUCAUGCACGAAAGCGUGGGGAGCAAACAGGAUUAGAUACCCUGGUAGUCCACGCCCUAAAACGAUGUCAACUGGUUGUUGGGAAGGUUCCUUCUCAGUAACGUAGCUAACGCGUGAAGUUGACCGCUGGGGAGUACGGCCGCAAGGUUG
This 549-nucleotide ribosomal RNA is filed under the name uncultured bacterium. RNAcentral's name for it is "partial 16S ribosomal RNA". It matches the Rfam family "Bacterial small subunit ribosomal RNA", at positions 355 to 896 of the family's 1533-position model. The record is from RNAcentral.